AUUGAACGCUGGCGGCAGGCCUAACACAUGCAAGUCGAACGGCAGCACAGUGCUUGCUUGUGGUUCCAGAGGGGGAGUGGUGAGUGGUGCAGGGGAAUAUCCGUGGCUGCGCUUUAGAACGGCCUGAAGAAGGGACUACUACGACAUUAUAGCAGACGCAGUAAGGGGGAGAGCUUGGGACCUUAGGAUCUUAUGCGAAUGAAUGCGGGACUAGCUAGUUGGUGGGUUAGAGGGCUACCAAGCCAACGAUCCGUAGCUGGUCUGAGAGGAUGAGCAGCCACACUGGAACUGAGACACGGUCCAGACUCCUACGGGAGGCAGCAGUGGGGAAUAUUGGACAAUGGGCGCAAGCCUGAUCCAGCCAUACCGCGUGUGUGAAGAAGGCCUUCGGGUUGUAAAGCCCUUUUGUUGGGAAAGAAAAGCAGCAGGUUAAUACCCCGCUGUUCUGACGGUACCGAAAGAAUAAGCACCGGCUAACUUCGUG
Molecule: ribosomal RNA, 484 nt
Filed under: uncultured bacterium
Lineage: Bacteria
Description: partial 16S ribosomal RNA
Rfam family: Bacterial small subunit ribosomal RNA
Source: RNAcentral